This 5094-nucleotide long non-coding RNA is filed under the name Nicotiana benthamiana. RNAcentral's name for it is "long non-coding RNA (NBEN_LNC020403)". The record is from RNAcentral. Lineage: Eukaryota; Viridiplantae; Streptophyta; Magnoliopsida; Solanales; Solanaceae.
AAUCAAUUGUUUGACGGAUAUAAAUUGGACUGGAGUCUAUGUAUUGGCUCGAGAAGUUUUGAGGUGAGUUGAUAUAACUUUUUACUAAAGUGGUUUAACUCACAAAUGCACGCCUAUAAGGUGUUUGAUGAAUUGCUUAAAAGUGUUUAUCUUUAUUUAAUUAGAACGCGUUAGUACUCAUUAAUUUAGAAUUGUUCUAGCAAAAGUUUAGAUAAUCUAUUAUGCUAUAUGUGCUUAAAUUUCAGUUUUUUUUGUGUUAUUUUUAUAUGCUAGUUUCAUGUUGAAAAUUAUGAAGAAGAAAGGAUCUUUAGAAAUAUUUUUUUUAAUAUAUUUAUUUCAUUCUUAUGCCAUGCUUUACAUAUUCCAUUUUCAUGUUGAAUAUUCACGAAGAAAUUAAGAACAUUUAUAAAUACUUUUGAGAAUAUUUGUUUCAUUCUUAUGUCUUGCCUUACAUUUAAGGAAACCAGUAUGAGUAUGUAUAAAAUAUUUAGACUUGAAAAGUCACAAGAAGAAGCUUUAGAAAAAAAAGAUUUUUUGGGAGUAUCCUUUAUUCUGAGAAGGGGUCAUCGUCAAGGCCUAGGGUCCUGACCAAGACGUUGACUUCUUGAAACUACUUGUGCCAAAGUAGGGAGAACACGAGCCGAGGGUCUCGUUGCUGAGAGAUUACUUAGCCAUGCUAAGAUAUGAUACAUGAGCGCUGAGAACCAUGAAGCGAGUGGCACCUCGUGGAUUGGUCCUAUUCGAUCAGGUUGGGAUCGAACCCGUGCCGAUCACACGGUGAAUGAGACAGAAUUAAUUCAGGAUAGUUGGGACUCCCAAAGUAUAACGUGAAGUAUUUUUUUAAAAAAAUAAAGAAAAAAAAUAAUUUCUUUUAGAAUAUUCAUAAAUUGCUAUUAUGCAAUUAUUUUAGAAUUAUUCUUAUAAGCUUUAUGUUUUACAUGCAUUUAGAACCUUUGCUCAAAAUGCAUAUAUUAUUAAAUCUUCUCCCCCUGUUGUUGAGACUCAUUGAGUACAGUGGAUGGUACUGACGUUCUCUUUUGGGAACCUACGUUGGUCUGCGGUAUAAAGUAGGAACCGGAUUUGCAGGCGAGCAGGCUACGAGUUAGGACUUCCUUCCCUUUUAGUGAUAUUGGUGAGCUCCGCUUUUGUUCGUGGAGUAUUCUUAGAGUCAUUUUCAUUUAGCUAUUUCUUUAUUUAUUUAGAGAACUGGCCAGGAAAUCUCAUGUCCUGAUCAGUGCGUCAGUUUAUCAGUAGAGGCUUCAUAGACAUAGUCGUUGGGUUAAGAUUCAGAUGUUUCUGAUAAUAACUUAGAAGUAUUUUAUUGAUUACUAUGAAGAAAGUUUUGGAGUUGAUUUAUUUAAAUGUUUAAAUUAAUCAAAAGUAUUUUGUUAAGGUAUUGCCUUGUUGCAUGUAAAGUUGGAGUUAUAACAGAUUUGAUAAGUAUAAAUGGUUCGUUCGGUCAUGUUUAGUGAUCGAGUGCCGGUCUCGGCUUGUUCAGAAAAUGGGUCAUGACAAUAAAGGAAUCAAUUAAGUACCUUUUUCCUCAAAUCUGAACCGUCAAAAUCACUUCUUCCUUUGUCAGUUUCCACUUGAUAUUAGAGCGUCAGGUUUGUGGAGUCCUAGGGGUCUAUGAAGCCGUGUUAGUAGAGUCCUGUUUAGGUGUACGAAGCGCGCCAUACUUAUAAACAGGAGGCUACAAACAUUUAGGAAACAUCUCAAUUUUUUCAUACUUUAGAUCGUGCAGUAGAGCCUACCUCUAAGAAAUUAUCUAAUGUAUUCGUUUCUCCAAAACUCGUAGAAAUGGCUCGUACUCUCAACUCUGACACCGACACUCUGGAUGCUGCUCAAGAAAUUAUUGCUACUAUCGUGGCUCAAGGCAGAACUAAAAAGGCUCGAACUCAGAAAGGGAAGGGUAAAUCGACAAGGGAGGUUCAAGUACCCCAUGUUGCACAUGAAGAAGGGGUGGAGCAUGAUAAGCAAGUACCUUAGGAUCCAACGCCACCCCCAACAGCAACUCCGAUUCAAACAACUAUAACCCCAGAGAUGGGUCAGAUGUUCAAUGCAGUCAACAGUGUUAUGGAGAUGUUUAAGGCCUUUAUGGUUCAAGUACCCAGGUUGAACAUAAAGGAAGGGAUAGAGCAUAAUGAUCCAGUACCCCAGGAUCCAAUACUGCCCCCAACAGCAGCUCCGGCUCAGGCAACUAUAUCUCCCGGUGUAGGUCAGAUGUUUAAUGUUGUCAACAGUGCUAUGGAGAUGUUUAAAGCCUUUAUGGCCAACAAAAUGAGAGAAGAGAUAAGAUGCCGCCUCCAUCAAAUAGACAGAACAAUUUUGAGUCCUCAAAUGUUCUAUGGUUGUAUAGUUGACGAAUAUCCAAUGUUAUGGAUGGGGGGUGUUAAGAAAGCCCUCCGAGUGAUGAAAGUAUUUGAUGACAAAGCUGUGGAGCUGGCUGCUUACCAGCUUAGAGAUGUGGCUGGCGCUUGGUUUGAGAUGUGGGAAANNNNNNNNNNNNNNNNNNNNNNNNNNNNNNNNNNNNNNNNNNNNNNNNNNNNNNNNNNNNNNNNNNNNNNNNNNNNNNNNNNNNNNNNNNNNNNNNNNNNNNNNNNNNNNNNNNNNNNNNNNNNNNNNNNNNNNNNNNNNNNNNNNNNNNNNNNNNNNNNNNNNNNNCCUCAUAGCUAACUUUAUCCCAGAAGAGGAUACGGCAGCUAAGGCUACAGAGUUCGAACAACUCAAGCAUGAGAAUAAAAGUGUGCAACAGUACUACAUGGAAUUUAUAAGGUUAGCUAAGUAUGCUCUUCACAUGGUUAAGAUAGAAAAAGCAAAGAUUCGCAGGUUUGUUGGCGGUUUGGCUUACCACAUUAAGGAUACGACAUCAGCUGCAGCGGUAGGAAUGACAGCUUUCUCAUAUGUUGUGGGGGUCGCCAAGCACUUAGAAAAAGACAGACAACAAAGGAUAGAGGAGAAAGAGCAUAACAAGAAAUCCCGGACAACGAGAAGGUUUAGUGGUACAUCCAAUAGAGGCGGAAGGGAUUCCUCUAAUAAGAAGUCAUUAACACCAUCUCAGUCCAGUCAUUAGUCAGAUGGUGGGUCUUCCCUCAGACGUACUCAGAGUUAUGGAAAUCAGCGCCAAAAUUUUGAGUCCCUUGAAAAAAUAAGUAGUGCUAAGAAAACUUAAGAGGUUCAAGGACCUAACGGAUGAUUGUUAGCUUAAAAAUAAAGCCUAGUAACAUUCGAGGGCAAAUGUUUUUAAGGAGAGAAGAUUGUAACACCUCAAAUCGAUAAAAGUUUCAAGACCUGUUAAAUAAAGAAUUUAAUUUUUAUAAUCUUAAAUUAUACUUUUUAUUACGGAUUUAAACCCUUGUGAUUGAUUUUGAGUUACUUCUCUAUUUAUAAAUAAUUGAAUAUAUAAUAGGAGAAUAUUAAUCAUAUUAGAAUUAUUAAUUAGUAAAAGUAGGUGCCAUUAAUUAUUAGUUAAGUGAGAAGAAAACAAGAAAAAUAGUUAUAAUAAUAAUAAUAAAACAUAGAAGAAGAAAAAAGGGGCUAAAUCCUUGGAAAAAGUAAGAAACAAUACACAACAACCAUUGUUCUGUUUUAGUCACGACAAAAAAAAAAGGGCUUAAAGCCUUAAAAAUCUUAAAAGCCUAAAGUCUUACCAUUCAAAAGAGAAAAGGCAGAACAGUCACGGCAAAAAGGAUAGAAAACGCAACCUUACGAACGGCAGCAACCAAAAAGAAUUCUCACGCAGACAGCGAAAAAUUCUGGAUUCUUUAUAACUCGCUUAUUUUUUAACUCAGGUAUGUAAAAUUCUCUAUUGUCAAUUACCCUAUAAUAGUAAUAGGUAAAAAUUGAAUAGCUAAUUCCCUUCUUCCUCUAUAUCAUCAAUAAAUUUCAUAAUUGGUGUAGUACUUGAAAAUUAAUUAAAAUACACUGGUUGUUGUAGAAUCAAUUGUUUGACGAGUAUAAAUUGGAUGGAGUCUACGUAUUGGCUCGAGAAGUUUUGAGGUGAGUUGAUAUAACCCUUUACUAAAGUGGUUUAACUCACAAAAGCACGCCUAUAACGUGUUUGACGAAUUGCUUAAAAGAGUUUAUCUUUAUUGAAUUAGAGCGCGUGAGUACCCAUUAAUUUAGAAUUGUUCUAGUAAAAGUUUAGAUGAUUUAUUUAUGCUAUAUGUGCUUAAAUUUCAGAUUUUUUGUGUGUUGUUUUUAUAUACUAUUUUCAUGUUAAAAAUUAUGAAGAAGAAAGGAUCUUUAGAAAUAUUUUUUUUAUAUAUUUGUUUCUUUCUUAUGCCAUGAUUUACAUUUAAGGGCACCAAUAUGAGCAUGUACAUAAUGUUUUAUAAAGAAAAGAUUUAGACUUGAAAGGUCACAAGAAGAUGUAUUAUAAAGAAAUUUUUUUUUGGGAGUAUCUUUUAUUCUGAGAAGGGGUCAUCGUCCAGGCCGAGGGUCCUGACCAAGACGUUGACAUCCUGAAACUACUUGUGCCAAAGUAGGGAGCACACGAGCUGAGGAUCUCAUUGCUGAGAGAUUACUUAGCCAUGCUAAGUAUGAUACAUGAGCGAUGAGAACCAUGAAGCGAGUGUCACCUCGUGGAUUAGGCAUAUUCGAUCAGGUUGGGAUCGAACCCGUGCCGAUCACACGGUGACUGAGAUAGAAUUAAUUUAGGAUAGUUGGAACUCCCAAAGUAUAAAGUGAAGUAUUUUUUUUUAAAAGAAAGAAAAAGAAAAGAAUUUAUUUUAGAAUAUUCAUAAACUGCUAUUAUGUAAUUAUUUUAAAAUUAUGCUUAUAAGUUUUAUGUUUUACAUGCAUUUAGAACCUUUUCUAAAAAUGCAUAUAUUAUUAAAUCUUCUCCCCCUGUUGUUGAGACUCACUGAGUACACUAGAUGGUACUGGGGUUCUCUUUUAGGAACCUACGUUGGUCUGCGGUACAACGUAGGAACCGAAUUUGCAGGCGAGCAUGCUACGAGUUAGGGACUGCCUUCCCUUUUAGUGAUAUUAGUGAGCUCCGCUUUCGUUCGUGGAGUAUUCUUAGGGUCAUUUUCAUUUAGCUAUUUCUUUGUUUAUUUAGAGAACUGGCCAGGAAAUCUCAUGUCCUGNNNN